RNAcentral lists this unclassified non-coding RNA (379 nucleotides) under uncultured bacterium. Its description in RNAcentral is "contains 16S-23S intergenic spacer region". The record is from RNAcentral.
UCCGGUUUGUCACCGGCAGUCUCGCAUGAGUCCCCAACUGAAUGCUGGCAACAUGCGACGGGGGUUGCGCUCGUUGCGGGACUUAACCCAACAUCUCACGACACGAGCUGACGACAGCCAUGCAGCACCUGUGUUCCCGUUCCCUUUCGGGCACAGCCCCCUCUCAGGGGCCUCCAGGACAUGUCAAGGGUAGGUAAGGUUUUUCGCGUUGCAUCGAAUUAAGCCACAUACUCCACCGCUUGUGCAGGCCCCCGUCAAUUCCUUUGAGUUUUAAUCUUGCGACCGUACUCCCCAGGCGGGGCACUUAAUGCGUUAGCUGCGGCACCCAGGGGGUCAAUACCCCGGACACCUAGUGCCCAUCGUUUACAGCGUGGACUAC